This is a long non-coding RNA of Homo sapiens (human), 826 nucleotides long. RefSeq lists it as uncharacterized. The record is from RefSeq and is a predicted model, not a curated record. The transcript has 3 exons. NCBI's taxonomy places the organism in Eukaryota, Metazoa, Chordata, Mammalia, Primates, Hominidae.
GGCCUAAGUCAGUAACUUCUUUAAAAGAAUUUAGGAAUUUGUAUUUUUUUGUUGUUCAAGAUUUACAUACACUGUAAAAAAAAAAAAUCUCUGCAAGUGUGUGUGGCUGUGCCAGAGGAUGGCUGAGCUCUUUGCAAUACCUUAGAAGAGCCCUAGGGGUCCUCAGAGCUCAAGCUGAGACACACUUACCUGGCCUCGAGGGACUGCUUGUAGUUAGGCUCUCCGUUGCUGAUCGCGCCCCCUGGUGGAAAGGUCUGGAAUACAGCAUUCCCAACUGAAAGGCUUCGCGUGGUUUGGUUUGAACGUGAUUCACUCAAGGAUGUCAUCUUCCUGCUGAUUUGUAUGCCUGGUAGUUUUUCACUGGAUGCUCUACAUGAGAUCAAAAUAUGCCACUCCAAAACAUGCCACUUUGGCAUACAAUUAUUUCAGAUUCAACAGAUGCAGAAAGAAGCCAUCUCAGAGCUUCCCUUAUCUCAUGAGAAGCAGAAACUUCUGAGAAAUGAGGACUGCUGUAAAUCUCCUCUUCUAGGGAAGUUUUAUGGCCACAGAGAAGAUGAAGUUGGCGCCAAGAUGGAUCUGCACAAACAAACCUUACUCCAUUAAUUUCCCUCAUAUAUUUACUUUCCCAUGGUUUACUGCCUUUGGGAGCCUAAGAUUUUUUUUUUUUCCUUUGACUUGUCACUUCUCUACGAAUUUAUUGUUCUUUGUUAAGAUGCAUAAACCCACAUUCUAACCACCUCUUUGAGUUUUUCAUCAUAUCACUGAGUUUCUCCUGGGUACACGCCCACUGUACAUGCUAAUAAACUAUUUGUUUUUCCCUUGUUAA